UACGUAGGGGGCAAGCGUUGUCCGGAUUUAUUGGGCGUAAAGAGCGUGUAGGCGGCUUGGUAGGUCCGCUGUGAAAACUCGAGGCUCAACCUCGAGAUGUCGGCGGAAACCACUUGGCUAGAGUCCGGAAGAGGAGAGUGGAAUUCCUGGUGUAGCGGUGAAAUGCGCAGAUAUCAGGAAGAACACCUAUGGCGAAGGCAGCUCUCUGGGACGGUACUGACGCUGAGACGCGAAAGCGUGGGGAGCGAGCAGG
This 253-nucleotide ribosomal RNA is filed under the name uncultured bacterium. Its description in RNAcentral is "partial 16S ribosomal RNA". It matches the Rfam family "Bacterial small subunit ribosomal RNA", at positions 524 to 776 of the family's 1533-position model. The record is from RNAcentral.